RNAcentral lists this unclassified non-coding RNA (169 nucleotides) under soil metagenome. Its description in RNAcentral is "partial internal transcribed spacer 1". The record is from RNAcentral.
UAAUCAAGUGUUUUUAUGGCACUUUCCAAAAUCCAUAUCCACCUUGUGUGCAAUGUCAUCUCACUGGAGGUCAACGGCUGUAAAAAUCCGUGGUCACCUUUGGGAUUUAUAUCUACUCAGAACUUUAGUGAUUUGUCUGAAACAUAUUAUGAAUACUUAAUUCAAAAUA